RNAcentral lists this ribosomal RNA (253 nucleotides) under uncultured bacterium. RNAcentral's name for it is "partial 16S ribosomal RNA". It matches the Rfam family "Bacterial small subunit ribosomal RNA", at positions 524 to 776 of the family's 1533-position model. The record is from RNAcentral. RNAcentral also lists the same sequence under 1 other name.
GACGAACCGUGCGAACGUUGUUCGGAUUCACUGGGCUUAAAGGGCGCGUAGGCGGGCGAUCAAGUCAGGGGUGAAAGCCUCCAGCUCAACUGGAGAAGUGCCUCUGAUACUGGUCGUCUUGAGGGAGGUAGGGGCAUGUGGAACUUCCGGUGGAGCGGUGAAAUGCGUAGAUAUCGGAAGGAACGCCGGUGGCGAAAGCGACGUGCUGGACCUCUUCUGACGCUGAGGCGCGAAAGCUAGGGGAGCGAACGGG